This is a long non-coding RNA of Neopsephotus bourkii (Bourke's parrot), 457 nucleotides long. RefSeq lists it as uncharacterized. Lineage: Eukaryota; Metazoa; Chordata; Aves; Psittaciformes; Psittacidae. The record is from RefSeq and is a predicted model, not a curated record. The transcript is spliced from 3 exons.
AUUGCUUGAAAUGCUCAAUUGUUGAAAUACAAUUUAACAAAGACUUUUAGUAUGGGGGAAAUGCCUGCUUGAUUUCCUUUUCUUUUUGGCUUUGGUUUGGGUUGUUUUCUGUGGUUUACUUUCUUUAUUCCCUUUUUCAUGUGAAUCCACAAAGAAGCAGCAAUCAGAAUUCCACUGAUCUUCUCAGCUGGUUCAAUCCCUGAUGAGAGCAUCCCAGCAACCAGCUAGUUCAGGUUCUUCUGCUGAGCCCUUGGCCACUUGCACAUACUUAUUGCCAGAAGUGAGCAGGAGCCCAGUCCCACUUGGGACUGUCACAAGUACAAGUCCUUCUGGGAUAUCUUAUUUAAAGAAGCAGAAGUUGGUUCUUGGAUGAUGAUCCACUGAAGAUCAUGGCAAACCACUUGCUCGCCUGGAAACUGCUUUUUAUCAUUUCUUUUGAGUAUGAGAAGCAAGGUCU